CGCCCUUAGAGUUUGAUCCUGGCUCAGAAUCAACGCUGGCGGCAUGCCUAACACAUGCAAGUCGAGCGAGAAAGGGUAGCAAUACCUGAGUACAGCGGCGCACGGGUGAGUAACACGUGGAUAACCUGCCUCGAAGUGGGGAAUAACACCGGGAAACCGGUGCUAAUACCGCAUAUACCGAUAGAGCCUGCGGGCAUUAUCGGGAAAGGAGCAAUUCGCUUUGAGAGGGGUCCGCGGCUGAUUAGCUAGUUGGUGAGGUAAUGGCUCACCAAGGCAACGAUCAGUAGCCGGUCUGAGAGGACGGUCGGCCACACUGGAACUGAGACACGGUCCAGACUCCUACGGGAGGCAGCAGUGGGGAAUUUUUCGCAAUGGGGGAAACCCUGACGAAGCAAUGCCGCGUGGGUGAUGAAGUCUCUUGGGACGUAAAACCCUUUCGACAGGGACGAAAGCCGCAAGGUUUGACGGUACCUGUAGAAGAAGCCCCGGCUAACUCCGUGCCAGCAGCCGCGGUAAUACAGGGGGGGCAAGCGUUGUUCGGAAUUACUGGGCGUAAAGGGUGCGUAGGCGGCUUUCUAAGUUGGAUGUGAAAACUCUGGGCUCAACCCAGAGCCUGCAUCCAAAUCUGGAAGGCUAGGGUUCUGGAGGGGAAAGCGGAAUUCCUGGUGUAGCGGUGAAAUGCGUAGAUAUCAGAGGAACACCGGGUGGCGAAGCGGCUUUCUGGACAGACACCGACGCUGAGCACGAAAGCUAGGGAGCAAACAGAUUAGAUACCCUGGUAGUCUAGCCCUAAACGAUGGA
This 801-nucleotide ribosomal RNA is filed under the name uncultured bacterium. RNAcentral's name for it is "bacterial SSU rRNA". It matches the Rfam family "Bacterial small subunit ribosomal RNA", at positions 1 to 813 of the family's 1533-position model. The record is from RNAcentral.